UGUGAAGAAGGCAGCCACUCUUACCACCUGGGGCUGAUGUGAUGGUCUCUUGGCCAAUGAGAUGGGACCAGCACUCUUCUCUGAUGUCUCAUUGGUAGCCUUCAUUAGAGGAGCUUCCUGGGCUGGAUGUGGCCCCACCCUCUCCGUCACUCACCUAUGGGACAAAGAAAAAGAAAAGUAGCAAGGCAAGAAAGUUCCUUUUAAGCAAGUGAUGCAGGUGCUUGUUGACGUCAUUUCUGCUCGUAUUCCAUCAGUGAGAACUUAUUCCCAUGGCCACACCUCACUGCAGGAGAGACUGGGAAAUACAGCCUCAAGCUGGCAAAUCUGUGCCCAGUGAGACUCCAUUAUUAUGGAGACAGUGGAGAACAGGUAUUGGGGGACAAUAAAUGGUCUUGUGUUGCUGGAAA
This is a long non-coding RNA of Pongo pygmaeus (Bornean orangutan), 407 nucleotides long. RefSeq lists it as uncharacterized. The record is from RefSeq and is a predicted model, not a curated record. Lineage: Eukaryota; Metazoa; Chordata; Mammalia; Primates; Hominidae. The transcript has 2 exons.